UACGUAGGGUGCGAGCGUUGUCCGGAAUUAUUGGGCGUAAAGAGCUCGUAGGCGGUGUGUCACGUCGGCCGUGAAAACCUGCAGCUUAACUGUGGGCGUGCGGUCGAUACGGGCAUCACUGGAGUUCGGCAGGGGAGACUGGAAUUCCUGGUGUAGCGGUGAAAUGCGCAGAUAUCAGGAGGAACACCGGUGGCGAAGGCGGGUCUCUGGGCCGAUACUGACGCUGAGGCGCGAAAGCCAGGGGAGCGAACGGG
RNAcentral lists this ribosomal RNA (254 nucleotides) under uncultured bacterium. Its description in RNAcentral is "partial 16S ribosomal RNA". It matches the Rfam family "Bacterial small subunit ribosomal RNA", at positions 524 to 776 of the family's 1533-position model. The record is from RNAcentral.